AUACCUUUCUCGGCCUUUUGGCUAAGAUCAAGUGUAGUAUCUGUUCUUAUCAGUUUGAUAUGUGAGCCAUCGGCCCACUCGAUAUUAAUCUUAUUUUUUAUGGGGAAAGACCCGUCACAAUAGCUUGCUAUUGGGGUCUUUAAGCGUCGCCUUGGUGUUGCACUACUGCCUUGGCCUGGCGCACCCCUC
Molecule: small nuclear RNA, 189 nt
Filed under: Helianthus annuus (common sunflower)
Lineage: Eukaryota; Viridiplantae; Streptophyta; Magnoliopsida; Asterales; Asteraceae
Description: U2 spliceosomal RNA
Rfam family: U2 spliceosomal RNA
About the family: U2 is a small nuclear RNA (snRNA) component of the spliceosome (involved in pre-mRNA splicing). Complementary binding between U2 snRNA (in an area lying towards the 5' end but 3' to hairpin I) and the branchpoint sequence (BPS) of the intron results the bulging out of an unpaired adenosine, on the BPS, which initiates a nucleophilic attack at the intronic 5' splice site, thus starting the first of two transesterification reactions that mediate splicing.
Source: RNAcentral